GAAUAAGGAACAGCAUUUCGUGAACACCUGGUACCAUUUCUGCUGCAACUAUCAUCUUUUCUUUUCUUCUUCUUCUUCUUUUUUUUUUUUUUAGUAAUCACCGUAAGACCAUUACUCUACAUUCAUUGGCUGAAAUCACAAAAGAUCUUCAUAAGAGGAGGAAACUGAGGCCCAUAGAGAGGUCCGCUACAGCUAACAGAUACACCUGUGUCUUAAGGAGUUGCUACAGGGAGGAGGC
RNAcentral lists this long non-coding RNA (238 nucleotides) under Felis catus (domestic cat). Its description in RNAcentral is "lncRNA (ENSFCAG00000042766.2)". Lineage: Eukaryota; Metazoa; Chordata; Mammalia; Carnivora; Felidae. The record is from RNAcentral.